CAUCCUCAACCCCUCUUGGUUUCUUGACCGAGAAGGCUUGCAAUCUGGAGGCUUUUGCUGGCCUUCCUUCGAAGCCAGCUCCUCUUAAACGAAUUAGUGGGGUUCACAUCGGUUUGAUCCUGGACGUGAUAAGAUGCCUCUACGUCUUGGGUUUUUCUCUGUCCCCCUGCUUCUAACUGCCUCAUAGGAGACUCUGUUCGGGACAUACCACCCUUCGUGGGUGGGAAGCCUGACCCACGAAA
This 242-nucleotide unclassified non-coding RNA is filed under the name uncultured Russulaceae. Its description in RNAcentral is "sequence contains ITS2". Lineage: Eukaryota; Fungi; Basidiomycota; Agaricomycetes; Russulales; Russulaceae. The record is from RNAcentral.